Molecule: ribosomal RNA, 1006 nt
Filed under: Alaria americana
Lineage: Eukaryota; Metazoa; Platyhelminthes; Trematoda; Diplostomida; Diplostomidae
Description: large subunit ribosomal RNA
Rfam family: Archaeal large subunit ribosomal RNA (bases 660-964)
Source: RNAcentral
GCUUCUUGAUUUAGUUUUUUCCUUACGUGUGUUUCUUUGGUUUUAUUACCUUUUGCAUCAUGAUUUGUCGAUUAUAUGAAAUUAUCUUGAUUGAUCCGAAGGGUGGCGAUUUUUGGUGCACUUGCUUAAUUUGGGCUUAAUAUUUUACGGGUAGUAAUAGAUUAGAGUGUAUCAAGGUAGUGAUAAAUUAUUCGUGUCUCCUUAUAUCUGAUUAGAAACAUUGUUCAUUUUGAUUAAGGCUAGUUGUUAUGAUAUGGUUAGUCUUUUAAGAGAUUUAAUUUUUUUUUUUCAUUCUGGGUUUAGAGGUUUCCUUGAUUUUAGAGUUUGUUAAAAAAAGGUUUGUUGAUGUUAUUAUGUCUUUAUUAGAUUUGUUUCCUGUAGUGAAUUAUUUUUUUUAUGAUAGAAUAAGUAGAAUUAGUUUAGUCUCUUUUUUUCUUUAUAUGGGUCGGUCUGUUUAUUAAAAACAUUUCCAUUUUGAAUUUUAGAUGGUAUUUACCUGCCCGAUGUUUGUUUAUCAAUGGCCGCAGUAUAUUGACUGUGCGAAGGUAGCAUAAUUAGUUGCCUCAUAAUUGGAGGAUUGUUUGAAUGGUUUGACUAGACUUAGUUAAGAUGGGGAUUUGGUUUGAAAUUGGUUUUGAGGUGCAGAAUCCUCGUUUAUUAAAUUAGACGGAAAGACCCCGAGAUCUUUAUACUUGUUUGUGUUUAUUUGGGGUAAAGGCAAAUUAUUUAUUUGCUUUUUGAUCCUUAUUUGGUGGUUAAAGAAUAAGGUUGUAGGUUUAGUUACCUCGGGGAUAACUGUGUAAGAAUCAAUUAGAGGCCAUAUCGAUUUGUUUAUUUGCCACCUCGAUGUUGACUUGGAGAUUUGCGUAGGCGCAGUAGUUUAUGUGGAGGGUCUGUUCGACCUAUAAUUCUCCUCAUGAGUUGAGUUAAGACCGGCGUGAGCCAGGUCGGUUCUUAUCUAUUUUUCAGUUUAUUUAGUACGAAAGGAAUAAUAUUCUUUUAGGUU